AACCUGUCUUACCAUCUAACCCCG
Molecule: non-coding RNA, 24 nt
Filed under: Arabidopsis thaliana (thale cress)
Lineage: Eukaryota; Viridiplantae; Streptophyta; Magnoliopsida; Brassicales; Brassicaceae
Source: RNAcentral